RNAcentral lists this ribosomal RNA (424 nucleotides) under uncultured prokaryote. RNAcentral's name for it is "bacterial SSU rRNA". It matches the Rfam family "Bacterial small subunit ribosomal RNA", at positions 355 to 774 of the family's 1533-position model. The record is from RNAcentral.
UUAAGAAUCUUGCACAAUGGGGGCAACCCUGAUGCAGCGACGCCGCGUGGAUGAUGAAGGCCUUCGGGUUGUAAAGUCCGGUAAGCAGGGAAGAAUAAGUCCGGGGUAAUAUUCCGGAUGAUGACGGUACCUGCCUAAAGCCCCGGCUAACUACGUGCCAGCAGCCGCGGUAAUACGUAUGGGGCAAGCGUUGUUCGGAAUUAUUGGGCGUAAAGGGCGCCUAGGCGGGGAACUAAGUUAGUUGUGAAAGCUAUGGGCUCAACCCAUAAAUUGCAUCUAAGACUGGUUCUCUUGAGUUCGGGAGAGGAGAGCGGAAUUCCAGGUGUAGCGGUGAAAUGCGUAGAUAUCUGGAAGAACACCAGUGGCGAAGGCGGCUCUCUGGCCUAGAACUGACGCUGAAGCGCGAAAGCGUGGGGAGCGAACA